This 460-nucleotide ribosomal RNA is filed under the name uncultured bacterium. RNAcentral's name for it is "partial 16S ribosomal RNA". It matches the Rfam family "Bacterial small subunit ribosomal RNA", at positions 338 to 795 of the family's 1533-position model. The record is from RNAcentral.
CCUACGGGGGGCAGCAGUGAGGAAUAUUGGUCAAUGGACGAGAGUCUGAACCAGCCAAGUAGCGUGAAGGAUGACUGCCCUAUGGGUUGUAAACUUCUUUUAUAUGGGAAUAAAAUGUUCCACGUGUGGGAUUUUGUAUGUACCAUAUGAAUAAGGAUCGGCUAACUCCGUGCCAGCAGCCGCGGUAAUACGGAGGAUCCGAGCGUUAUCCGGAUUUAUUGGGUUUAAAGGGAGCGUAGGUGGAUUGUUAAGUCAGUUGUGAAAGUUUGCGGCUCAACCGUAAAAUUGCAGUUGAAACUGGCAGUCUUGAGUACAGUAGAGGUGGGCGGAAUUCGUGGUGUAGCGGUGAAAUACUUAGAUAUCACGAAGAACUCCGAUUGCGAAGGCAGUUCACUGGACUGCAACUGACACUGAGGCUCGAAAGUGUGGGUAUCAAACAGGAUUAGAUACCCUAGUAGUC